AACCGGAUUAGAUACCCUGGUAGUCCACGCCCUAAACGAUGUCUACUAGUUGUCGGGUUUUAAUUAACUUGGUAACGCAGCUAACGCGUGAAGUAGACCGCCUGGGGAGUACGGUCGCAAGAUCAAAACUCAAAGGAAUUGACGGGGACCCGCACAAGCGGUGGAUGAUGUGGAUUAAUUCGAUGCAACGCGAAAAACCUUACCUACCCUUGACAUGUACGGAAGACCGAAGAGAUUUGGUUGUGCUCGAAAGAAAACCGUAACACAGGUGCUGCAUGGCUGUCGUCAGCUCGUGUCGUGAGAUGUUGGGUUAAGUCCCGCAACGAGCGCAACCCUUGUCAUUAGUUGCUACGAAAGGGCACUCUAAUGAGACUGCCGGUGACAAACCGGAGGAAGGUGGGGAUGACGUCAAGUCCUCAUGGCCCUUAUGGGUAGGGCUUCACACGUCAUACAAUGGUACAUACAGAGCGCCGCCAACCCGCGAGGGGGAGCUAAUCGCAGAAAGUGUAUCGUAGUCCGGAUUGUAGUCUGCAACUCGACUACAUGAAGUUGGAAUCGCUAGUAAUCGCGGAUCAGCAUGUCGCGGUGAAUACGUUCCCGGGUCUUGUACACACCGCCCGUCACACCAUGGGAGCGGGUUUUACCAGAAGUAGGUAGCUUAACCGCAAGGAGGGCGCUUACCACGGUAGGAUUCGUGACUGGGGUGAAGUCGUAACAAGGUAGCCGUA
This 728-nucleotide ribosomal RNA is filed under the name uncultured endophytic bacterium. RNAcentral's name for it is "bacterial SSU rRNA". It matches the Rfam family "Bacterial small subunit ribosomal RNA", at positions 771 to 1504 of the family's 1533-position model. The record is from RNAcentral.